AGCUUUGCCCAGUGGCAGCAUUGUAGCCAAUGAGGUUUACCUGAGGUACAAUUAUUGCUAAUUGAAAACUUUUCCCAAUACCCCUCCAUGACGACUUGAAAUAUAGUCAGCACUGGCAAUUUUUGACUGUCUCUACAGAGA
Small nuclear RNA from Gorilla gorilla gorilla (western lowland gorilla), 141 nucleotides. Its record names the gene U4. It matches the Rfam family "U4 spliceosomal RNA". Rfam says of the family: U4 small nuclear RNA (U4 snRNA) is a component of the major U2-dependent spliceosome. The structure of U4 snRNA from yeast and human has been reported. The record is from Ensembl. NCBI's taxonomy places the organism in Eukaryota, Metazoa, Chordata, Mammalia, Primates, Hominidae.